UCGCGCUCUGAGACGCUUUUCUGUGCUUCCGCUGAGAUAACAUUUUUAAUUAGAAUUGCAACUGAAUUCGCUCAGCGUUAAAUGUCUGCAGCAGACGCUGUGUUCGCUUUGGUGCUGCAAUACAAUUUGCAGGUUUAUUAGACGGCCCUGUCGGGAUGUGUUUGAACAGCAGAUAGGUUAUCAAUGCGCCGAAGGACCGAACAAACACACAACAGUCUGGAAAAGCUGAUUUUCUGAGCGUAUGAGGUUUUUUAUCAGUCAGCGCCAGGAGCGGAGACGUUUGGAGAGCAAUAUAAGUCUCCUGCGGUGCAGUCAGCAGGACCGUCUGCGUGGAAACAUCUGCCCUCACCUGAACUCAUUUACUGAGGAAACACACACACGCACCGAGCUGAUUGUGUCCCGUCGGCAGCAGAUUUCCAGGCCACAUUCGGGGUUUUGCUGCUUUUCUUCCAGCUGGAAAAGAGCAUUUUGGUUCCUGCCGGCUAAAUAACAAGCCACUAAAUGAAGAUGACUGCUGACGUCAGCUGGAAACAACACUGUUAACAAACUAAUGGAGAGUAAGAGUCGAGAAGCUGAAGUCAAACCCUGAGUUUGCACUUCUGCUACGAUCAAGCUCCGUUCAUCCGGCUGAAUUCACGCUCACAGCCACCGAGGGAGUAUGUCUGUGUUUUUAAACUUUUCUCAGACGCGUCUUAAGCAGGUCUAUGUGACAGGAUAAGCUGAAGUGCACAGUAAAGAUCAAACGCUCUCUCUGAGAUCUGAGAUAAA
Molecule: long non-coding RNA, 768 nt
Organism: Onychostoma macrolepis
Lineage: Eukaryota; Metazoa; Chordata; Actinopteri; Cypriniformes; Cyprinidae
Exons: 4
Source: RefSeq, a predicted model, not a curated record